UACGUAGGUGGCAAGCGUUGUCCGGAUUUAUUGGGUUUAAAGGGUGCGUAGGCGGCCUAUUAAGUCAGUGCUGAAAUAUCCCGGCUUAACCGGGAGGGUGGCAUUGAUACUGAUGGGCUUGAGUAGAGUUGAGGUUGGCGGAAUUGACGGUGUAGCGGUGAAAUGCGUAGAUAUCGUAAGGAAGACCAGUGGCGAAGGCGAGUCUCUGGACAGUUACUGACGCUGAGGCACGAAGGCCAGGGGAGCAAACGGG
RNAcentral lists this ribosomal RNA (253 nucleotides) under uncultured bacterium. RNAcentral describes it as "partial 16S ribosomal RNA". It matches the Rfam family "Bacterial small subunit ribosomal RNA", at positions 524 to 776 of the family's 1533-position model. The record is from RNAcentral.